CCUACGGGUGACAGCAGUAGGGAAUUUUCGGCAAUGGGGGGAACCCUGACCGAGCAACGCCGCGUGAACGAAGAAGUUAUUCGGAAUGGAAAGUUCUUUUAACAGGGGAGAAAGAGAAAUUUGACGGUACCUGAAGAAUAAGCUCCGGCUAACUACGUGCCAGCAGCCGCGGUAAUACGGAGGAAGCGAGCGUUAUCCGGAAUUAUUGGGCGUAAAGGGUGCGUAGAUGGAAUAGUAAGUCUGUUGUAAAAAUGCUGGGCUCAACCCCGUAGGGCAAAAGAUACUGCAAAGCUAGAGUAUGACAGAGGCAAGUGGAAUUAGAUGUGUAGCGGUAAAAUGCGUAAAUAU
RNAcentral lists this ribosomal RNA (348 nucleotides) under uncultured bacterium. Its description in RNAcentral is "partial 16S ribosomal RNA". It matches the Rfam family "Bacterial small subunit ribosomal RNA", at positions 338 to 697 of the family's 1533-position model. The record is from RNAcentral.